RNAcentral lists this ribosomal RNA (251 nucleotides) under uncultured prokaryote. Its description in RNAcentral is "partial 16S ribosomal RNA". It matches the Rfam family "Bacterial small subunit ribosomal RNA", at positions 604 to 775 of the family's 1533-position model. The record is from RNAcentral.
CCUUCUUCUUCUCUCUUUCUCCUUCUUCCCUUUUCUUCCCUCUCUUUCCUUCUUUUCUUUCCUUUUUUCUUUCCCUCUCCCGGCUCCACUGGGAGAGGUCGUUCAAUACUACCGGACUUGAGAGCGAUAGAGGAAAAUGGAAUUCCCGGUGUAGUGGUGAAAUGCGUAGAUAUCGGGAGGAACACCAGUGGCGAAAGCGAUUUUCUGGAUCGUUUCUGACGCUCAGACGCGAAAGCUAGGGUAGCAAACAG